Long non-coding RNA from Nannospalax galili (Upper Galilee mountains blind mole rat), 2028 nucleotides. RefSeq lists it as uncharacterized. Lineage: Eukaryota; Metazoa; Chordata; Mammalia; Rodentia; Spalacidae. The record is from RefSeq and is a predicted model, not a curated record. The transcript is spliced from 3 exons.
GCAAGAGGAUCUCUGUGAAUUUGUGGCUAACCUGGUCUACGCAGCAAGCUCCAGGCCAGCCAAGGCUACAGGGAGACCCUGUCUUAAAAGAACAAAAAUGAAAACAAACAAUUAAAAAAAACAAGCCCUGUUUGCAGAAAGGAGACUGGAGGGAGGGGCAUACAGUAGGGGCAGGCGAUGGCACAGGGUGGGGAGGGGACCCUCUGCAUCCCCCUCUGUCCCCUUACCUCCCCACAGAGUUCUCAAAGUUCCAGACACCUAGGGUAAGGAUGGAGGAAGAGCCAGGCCAGCUUGUGCCCUGCCCAGAGCCUUAGCCCAGUGGCAUGGUGGGGCUGGGGAACUGGUAGCAGCCGUCAGCCUGUUUUUGGUCCAAGAGUUAGUGCCAAACCCCUGAGGUGAGGCUCUAACCCAACCAAGCUUCUCCGGCCACACCUGCCAGAGGGGACCCAGGUCCGUAGCUCCUCAGGACCCCAUGAAGACCAUGGUGUGUGAUCUCCAUGAUGUGAGUCUUCAUCCUUUGAGGCUGGGACAGAGUCACUCCCUGGAGACCUGAGGCGACCGCCCCAGCCGGCCCUGAGGUUCAAAAGCAAAUUGUCCGUGACCUGACCCAAGGAACUCGAAGGUCUGUUGUCAGCCAGCCCCAGCUUUGUGCUGGUUUAUGAGAGGCGGCUGAGUUACCCACAGGGAGAAGGGAGCAGUCGGCCGGCUCUGCCCAUUCUACUUGAUGCCAGGGGCCCUACUACAGGUCUGGCCCCACCCAACUGUUAACCAUCCAGGAUGUCUGCUUCCUGGAGCCCUGGGGUGCCAUGAGGGACCACUAGGGGUGGGGGGUGACUGGGAUAACCGGUAAAGACUGGAGAAUUGUUUGAAAAUGAUUCUUGCUACCUCAGGGGAGGGGCUCGAGGGCACUUGGCUGAGGGGACACAGUGCCACACUGUGAGUUUCUGCACAGGUCUCCAGGGCCGUCACCUGAAGAGACAGACAGCAGGACGGGCUACAGCAACUGGAAAGUGGUGUUUCAUGGGGACAGGAUGUCAGUCUGGAAAGAUGAUGGAAUGUUCUGGAGGUGGAUGGUGGAGAGGGCUGCCUGAUACUUCAUACCGCCAAGCUAGGCACCUAGACGUGGACAAGUUGAAAAGAGGCACAGGUGACCUGCCACACAGGCAACUGCACCAUCCCACCACGAAUGGCACUCAUGAAAGUUGCGUCUCUGUGGCAAGAAGCAGUGCUGAGGCCUCUGCUCACUGCCUGUGGAACAGGGUAGGUGCUGUGUGAAUCUUGUAUGUUGGAGCUUCGGGAGCCAGGUAAGUUCCCAGCUCCUUCCUCCAGGGAGAAUGCUUCCAUUCAGAGGCCCAGGGUGGGCUUGGGAAGUAAUAGCAGUACUCCCAAGACCUCUGCCAUUCCACUGCAGGCAGCCAUUGGGGUUGGGGGGGGGGCGACUCUUGACUAUCUGGCUGGAUCUGUGGAACCAUGGUGGUUUUGUCCCUCCCGUUCCUCCCUCUUACAGCUGCUCUGAGGAUAUUCAGAGUCCCCGCUCAUCUCUGAGGAGCCAAACACCACAUCUUCCUUACCCACCUAGAUAGUCCUGGCUCCCUGACGGGGACAGGCCAGUGCAAGGUCUGCACUCACAGCUGGAGAGCCACUUACAGCCUGUGGUUCUGAAAGUGCCAGGGUGGAUGGUGGCACAGCUCAGAGAGGUGGGCUGGGGCCCAACUCAAGUCCCAGCUGCAACCUGAGAGACCUGGGCCCACCCUGGCUCUAGCUCCCUGACUAUGUCACCCCCUGUCCUCAGCAUCCUUCACUGUAAGACACUCGGGGAUCAGGACUGCAGUGAGGGCUUACUGUCCUUCGCGGCCAAGGCGCUACGGCUGAGGCCCCAACACCGCCUGUCCAGACCUUUCCCAGCUCUCCCGAGCUGAUCUCUAGGGUCUUACCUAUGCACUGGGACACAGCCAUCUCCACUCCAGGUGUCAUCUGGAAUGAGCCAUAUCACCAUCAUGACUGCCUGUCUCAAUGCAGUCACUUGGU